Molecule: transfer RNA, 68 nt
Filed under: Marmota monax (woodchuck)
Lineage: Eukaryota; Metazoa; Chordata; Mammalia; Rodentia; Sciuridae
Rfam family: tRNA
About the family: Transfer RNA (tRNA) molecules are approximately 80 nucleotides in length. Their secondary structure includes four short double-helical elements and three loops (D, anti-codon, and T loops). Further hydrogen bonds mediate the characteristic L-shaped molecular structure. tRNAs have two regions of fundamental functional importance: the anti-codon, which is responsible for specific mRNA codon recognition, and the 3' end, to which the tRNAs corresponding amino acid is attached (by aminoacyl-tRNA synthetases). tRNAs cope with the degeneracy of the genetic code in two manners: having more than one tRNA (with a specific anti-codon) for a particular amino acid; and 'wobble' base-pairing, i.e. permitting non-standard base-pairing at the 3rd anti-codon position.
Source: Rfam by way of RNAcentral
GUUGUAGCUUAGUGGUAGAGUACUUGCCUAGCAUGUAUGAGGCACUGGGUUCAAUCCUCAGUACAACA